AAAUUGAAGAGUUUGAUCAUGGCUCAGAUUGAACGCUGGCGGCAGGCCUAACACAUGCAAGUCGAACGGUAACAGGAAGCAGCUUGCUGCUUUGCUGACGAGUGGCGGACGGGUGAGUAAUGUCUGGGAAACUGCCCGAUGGAGGGGGAUAACUACUGGAAACGGUAGCUAAUACCGCAUAACGUCGCAAGACCAAAGAGGGGGACCUUAGGGCCUCUUGCCAUCGGAUGUGCCCAGAUGGGAUUAGCUAGUAGGUGGGGUAAUGGCUCACCUAGGCGACGAUCCCUAGCUGGUCUGAGAGGAUGACCAGCCACACUGGAACUGAGACACGGUCCAGACUCCUACGGGAGGCAGCAGUGGGGAAUAUUGCACAAUGGGCGCAAGCCUGAUGCA
Molecule: ribosomal RNA, 393 nt
Filed under: Escherichia coli
Lineage: Bacteria; Pseudomonadati; Pseudomonadota; Gammaproteobacteria; Enterobacterales; Enterobacteriaceae
Description: bacterial SSU rRNA
Rfam family: Bacterial small subunit ribosomal RNA
Source: RNAcentral